CUCAGCAGGAUGUCGCGUUUCUCACCAAAGGGCAGUAAUUGAAACCAUUACCUCAUCCAUUUGGUUAUUCAUGUUUCUAAUGGGAUGAACAGAAAGUCUGGCAUCUCAGUUUUGCCUCUCUCUCUCGCUCGCUCGCUCGCUCUCUGGUGUCGUUUGUCAGCUGUAGAUUACUUUAACAUCCCUGCUAUAAUGAAAUGGAUUUUAACUUUCUAUGGCAUGUGACAUCCUUCUCUGCAAGCGAACGCUUCAAACGGCAGAAACUUCUUAGAGCAAAUAUCGACUUUUCUCAUAAACUGCAGCCAUGCUGAUGCGAAAUGACUUGUAUCUGCGUUACACCACCAGUGUCCAUUAAGGCAGCGUCUAACGAUGAUACGCUCGUAUUAAAAGCUUUGACAAAAGACGAGUCUUUUUUUUUUUUUUUUUUUUAAAGUAGGAGUCGUUUUUCAAAGUAGGAGUCCGACAGUCCCCACUGUGCUCGCAGGAGCCGCUAAUGCUCUUACGCAAUCGUUUGUUUGGCCUUGCUAUUCAUUUCUGUAGGUCGUGAAGCCGCUCUAAAAGCCCGUCGGAAAGCCUGUGGGUGUGCGAGAGAUUGAAGAAAAAUAACUCGAUAACUAACUUUGCUGAAUGGAGAAGGCUGAAAAGUUAAUCCAACGCGUGACCCAGUCUACAAUCGUUCAUGAUGUUCCCACCAAUGAAUAUCUGCAGCAUUUGAUGGAUUGGACGCUCUUGUGCCACGGUGUGACGCAUAUCCAGGGAGGAGUCAGCAAGAUACUCCUCGAGGUGCUCCCUGAAAUACUCCGGGAAGAAGUCUACGGCUGGUGUUUUUGUCAGUCAUGUGACCACUUCAUAUCAAGAUACCUCUGAACGGAGCUCUCAACAACUGGACGCUACAGCCUGGAGAUGGUACCGCUUGGAGUACCACGAUAUGGUCUUGGACUUCAAUUCUACAUGGACGUUCUCGCUGUGGUUGCUGGGACUACGGUUGCUGCGAUGGCAAUUACCACAUGCAGUUUUGCACGCAGGUCUCCUUUAGUGAGCAGCGGACUAGUUCAACAAAGACUUCAUGUUAAAACCUUAAUGAACUUUCUUUUACUCUCGCACUAUCCGGUGUUACCCAGAUGACGACGAGUUCCCUUCGGAGUCCGGUUCCUCUCAAGGUUUCUUCCUCAGAUCAUCUUAGGGAGCGUUUCCUCCGUCUCCUGUGUUUAUAUGUUUCUGUAAAGCCGCUUUGAGACGAUGUCCGUUGUUAAAAGCGCUCUACAAAUAAAACUGAAUUGAACUGUAUUCUUCACUGUUUCGCAC
Ictalurus punctatus (channel catfish) is the source of this 1302-nucleotide long non-coding RNA. RefSeq lists it as uncharacterized. The record is from RefSeq and is a predicted model, not a curated record. The transcript has 4 exons. NCBI's taxonomy places the organism in Eukaryota, Metazoa, Chordata, Actinopteri, Siluriformes, Ictaluridae.